UCCUGAGAUAGAGUCUCAUGCUGUACCUACUGAGCCAGCCAGGCACCCUGAUCUUUGAAUUUUUGAAAAGGAGUUGAGAUGAUAAGGAUAAAGACAAAGUGCCCCAUGCUUCAUUUAGGCCACCCUUUCAGAAUUCCAGUUACAUGCAGUUCUCACUGAACUCAGAUGUUCUCAAGGUAACUUGUGAAAAGGCUUCCCUCUUAGGCCUCAGUCAUGGAGAUGAAGUACAAGAGCAGGAAAUCUGAGUGACCAUGAUCCCUAAAGUGAUUGAAAUUUUGCAUGUGUGUCUGUGUGGCAUUUUUCUGCUGGAGGGUUACCAGUUGUAAUUAGAAGAUUAAGUUGGUCCUAGCCCAACAACAACAAAAAAUACUGUGAGGAAAGAGGCAAGGCGUAGCUCAGAGCCAGAGAAUAAAUUUACAUAGAGUAAAUCUGAAGUCAGAUCAUGUCAGUUCCCAGCAUUUAAUUCUCCAUUGGCUUCCCAUCACCCGCAUGAAAAAAAUCCAGACUCCUGGGUAUGACAGUGGAAAGCAAGACAACAAAAGAAAAAUAGGUAAAUGGUAAAAAAGUAGGCAAAAGACCACAAUAGACAUUUCUUCAGAGAAGAUACACAGAUGGAUGGCCAAUAAGCUCAUGCAAACAUGCUCAAUGAUCCUAAUCAUUAGGGGACUGCACAUCAAAACCAAAGGGCGAUACUGCUUCAUACCCAGUUGUGUGACUAUAUUCAAAAAAGGGGUAUGGCUCAGAAAAGAACAAGCCCUGGAGAAUGGGGUGUAACUAAAAGUAUUGUGCACUGCCCCAAGCACUGUAAAUGGUGCAUUCCCAUAAAAAAAAAGUUAGUGAUUUCUUUAAAAAAGUAAACAUAGAAUUAUGGUGGGUACAUACCCCAAGAAAUUGUAAACAGGAAAGUGAUCAGGUAUUUUUACAUUUUCUAAAUCUCCUGGUUAAUUCACUGUCUUUGAUCAGCAACAUGUUGAACAGUGAUCACUCCUUACUUUAAACAUGUUUUUUCAUGGCUAUGAAAAAUCUUAUCUAUCAUCGGUGCGUCUGUUUCAAUUUUCUUCUCUCCACCCUCUGCUGAUUUUUCCUUAACUCCCUGCUCUCUGAUUGGAAGAGCACCCCACAGAAUAGUCAUGGACCUCUUCUCUUCUCUAUACCCAGUGACUUUCCAUGUGACCAUAUAUCAUUGCUUUAAAUACCUAGGGGUCUCCCAGAUUCACACUCCAUCUUAGACCUCUGCCCUGAACGGUUUGUGUUGUCCACUUGUCUCCUUGACAUCUCUGCUGGGACAUCUCCACCUUACGGUGUCCAAACAUGACCUCCUGAACUCCUCCAGUUGUGUUCCUUGCAGUCCUCCACCUCCCAGAAAAGAGCAGUGCCAUCUUCCUGGAGCUUUGGAUUGACGUCUCAAGACCCAUCUUGCCUGGCAGAGAAGCCCAGAGGAGGGAGAGGAGGAAAGCCCAGAGAGUCAGGAAUGACUCAUUCUCAGGAACUGUUGACCUUCAGGGAUGUGGCCAUAGAAUUCUCUCAGGAGGAGUGGGAGUGCCUGGA
Non-coding RNA from Leptonychotes weddellii (Weddell seal), 1548 nucleotides. The record is from RefSeq and is a predicted model, not a curated record. Lineage: Eukaryota; Metazoa; Chordata; Mammalia; Carnivora; Phocidae.